AAAACACACACAUUGCAAUUUUAUUUCAUUUCAGUAACUGCAAAAAAUCCUCUAGCAGAAAAGGACACAGAAACUUCUAAAGCUCUUUUUCCCAUUAACUUCAAGUAACGCGUUCCUUCCAGAAAGGAAAUCUGUCUAUGUAGGAAGCUCCUCAAUCACUGCUCUGCAGCCUCUGCUUUUGUAAGAAAAUAGCAAGGAUAAUAAAAUUUUGCAUUUUAGCUUUUCCUAAUAUCACACAGUCCUAGCCAACCAACAGUUUAUUAUAACAUCAAGCAUCUGGGGCAGGACAUAAAAAGCACUACGGUUCCCACAUGACAAGUGGAUUUCAGACCAUUAUUAGCAACAGCAGAAUGGCCCACUCUAAUAACUAUAUGUAGGCUUUUAACAGUUUGAUUUUGCUUGUCAUUUUAAGACACUUCCAGUGCAUGCCAGAACUAAGACAAAAUCAAAGUGUGAGCAUCCUGUCAAGCAGCAUAGAGGAGAAAAUGCUACACAGACCAAUGGCAGGGACUUGUACUGAAAUUACUGCUCCGUAAGAUUUUUGUCAUCUCUAACAACUAAGUUGUACUUGAAAAAUAUAAAACCAACUUACUUGUGGCUAAAAACUUGGCGAACUCCCAGACACUUUUGCUGGGAAAAGCUAGUGCACUAGAUUUCCAACUUUCUUUUCUUACACAACUGCCAGUCAGGACUACCUGAGAAAGGAGUCAGAUACCAGUCAGGGGACUCCAGCGCUAACUGGAAAGUUACAGCCAGAAACAAAGGGGCAGGCACGUAGGGUGCCUACGUACAGCAGAACGGCCCCAGCACUAAUCAUCAAGGAAAAGGUAGAUAGUGCAGAAUCACCGAAUCAUUUAGGUUGGAAAAGACCUCUAGGAUCACGUAGCCCGACCUCCGAAGCACCACCCCCACUGCAGCACGCCAAGGCCGCACCCUGGGCGCACUCCUUGCUGCCCAGACGUGGUCCUACAUCCGAUGCUUGGGCUGGACCAAAGGAGCCACCUGCACCAUGGGGCGCUGCCAGAGGGGCUGUGCACUGCAAGGGACAGGGCAGCGCUCUCCGUGUACUUCUCUUCCAUGUGCUUAUCUCGGACCACCUAUGGGAACAGAUGGUGUUACCGCAAGGGCAAGGGGCUUCUGAGCCAGCACGGCUGCCGGAUGACGUGUGGCCAGUUUCCUCCGGCCCAGCAAACCAGCCCCAACGCUCCCACUGGGUCUGAUUUAACGGGUUUCUUUCUGAGGGACAACGAAGACCUCCCCUGCAUGGUAACAGCCGCAGCACGUUUGGCCAUGAAGAUCAGAUGCUGCUCUCAUACCAAUCUGGAAACAACCUUCAAAUAUAAGAACCCAGCGCACUGUGCAAAUAAGGAGAAAAGUCCACAGCAAUGUCAGAGCACUUGUAUCCUGCAAGUUUCCCUGCCCAAGAAACCUGUUGUAAAUUCUUGAGAUGAUAAACGAAGAAGAGAUCACAUCUGGGUUUUACCUUUCACAAGUUUCUACAUCAACUCCAUGUCUAGAAUAGCAACAACCCUGUGAACUGCAAGCCUACAGCAAAUGCUGCCAACAAGGAAAGCUACGUAUGUGAAGGCUGAGAAGAUAUAUGUACUAGACCAAGUGGAAGCCUAUUUAUAUAUUUGGGCUACAUUUCCAAUACUGAAAUACCACUGCAUUUUACCAGAGAGCUGUUAGAGUGCUAAAGCUUUUUAUACCAGUAUAAUAAAAUCGCCAUUUUCAAGGAAAAAAAAGUAUAU
This is a long non-coding RNA of Anser brachyrhynchus (Pink-footed goose), 1751 nucleotides long. The record is from Ensembl. NCBI's taxonomy places the organism in Eukaryota, Metazoa, Chordata, Aves, Anseriformes, Anatidae.